RNAcentral lists this ribosomal RNA (499 nucleotides) under uncultured bacterium. RNAcentral describes it as "bacterial SSU rRNA". It matches the Rfam family "Bacterial small subunit ribosomal RNA", at positions 46 to 518 of the family's 1533-position model. The record is from RNAcentral.
GCCUAAUACAUGCAAGUCGAACGGUCUUUCUAUGGAAGCUUGCUUCCGCUGAGAAGAUAGUGGCGAACGGGUGAGUAACACGUGGGUAACCUGCCCAUAAGAGGGGGAUAACAUCCGGAAACGGGUGCUAAUACCGCAUAGUUUUCUUGAUCGCAUGAUCGGGAAAGGAAAGACGGCCUUUGUGCUGUCGCUUAUGGAUGGACCCGCGGCGUAUUAGUUAGUUGGUGAGGUAACGGCUCACCAAGACGAUGAUACGUAGCCGACCUGAGAGGGUGAUCGGCCACAUUGGGACUGAGACACGGCCCAAACUCCUACGGGAGGCAGCAGUAGGGAAUCUUCCGCAAUGGACGAAAGUCUGACGGAGCAACGCCGCGUGAGUGAAGAAGGUUUUCGGAAUCGUAAAACUCUGUUGUCAGAGAAGAACAAGUUGGAGAGUAACUGCUCCAGCCUUGACGGUAUCUGACCAGAAAGCCACGGCUAACUACGUGCCAGCAGCUGC